This 523-nucleotide ribosomal RNA is filed under the name Anomalopus swansoni. RNAcentral describes it as "partial 16S ribosomal RNA". It matches the Rfam family "Bacterial large subunit ribosomal RNA", at positions 1818 to 2595 of the family's 2925-position model. The record is from RNAcentral. Lineage: Eukaryota; Metazoa; Chordata; Lepidosauria; Squamata; Scincidae.
GCCUUUAGCAAUACAAGUAUUAAAGGUCCUGCCUGCCCAGUGAGACAUUUUUAACGGCCGCGGUAUUCUAACCGUGCAAAGGUAGCGUAAUCACUUGUCUUCUAAAUAAAGACCAGUAUGAAUGGCUAAAUGAGGACAAACCUGUCUCCUACGACCCAUCAGUGAAACUGAUCUUCCAGUCCAAAAGCUGGAAUAUUAACAUAAGACGAGAAGACCCUGUGGAGCUUAAAACCUCCUACCAAUGAGACCCCGUGCACAACUGGUAUAAGCUUUUGAGUUGGGGCGACUUCGGAACAAAACAAAACUUCCGAGCACAGAACCACCAGUUCUUACCAAGGCAAACAAGCCUAAGCAAAAACUGACCCAGUCAUACUGACCAACGAACCAAGUUACCCCAGGGAUAACAGCGCUAUCUUCUUCAAGAGUCCAUAUCGACAAGAAGGUUUACGACCUCGAUGUUGGAUCAGGGCACCCCAAUGGUGCAACCGCUAUUAAAGGUUCGUUUGUUCAACGAUUAACAGCC